This 442-nucleotide ribosomal RNA is filed under the name Salmonella enterica subsp. enterica serovar Vancouver. RNAcentral's name for it is "partial 23S ribosomal RNA". It matches the Rfam family "Bacterial large subunit ribosomal RNA", at positions 454 to 796 of the family's 2925-position model. Lineage: Bacteria; Pseudomonadati; Pseudomonadota; Gammaproteobacteria; Enterobacterales; Enterobacteriaceae. The record is from RNAcentral.
CAUCCUCCAAGGCUAAAUACUCCUGACUGACCGAUAGUGAACCAGUACCGUGAGGGAAAGGCGAAAAGAACCCCGGCGAGGGGAGUGAAAAAGAACCUGAAACCGUGUACGUACAAGCAGUGGGAGCCCCACCACCAAAGCAUUCUCUGGUGUUGAAGGCCCUGCAAAGCAGCAUCGCGGUGGCGGAGCGUCGUUUGCGACGCCCAACACACAAAACAAGCGGUGAGUGCUUUGGGGUGGGGUGACUGCGUACCUUUUGUAUAAUGGGUCAGCGACUUAUAUUCUGUAGCAAGGUUAACCGUAUAGGGGAGCCGAAGGGAAACCGAGUCUUAACCGGGCGUUAAGUUGCAGGGUAUAGACCCGAAACCCGGUGAUCUAGCCAUGGGCAGGUUGAAGGUUGGGUAACACUAACUGGAGGACCGAACCGACUAAUGUUGAAAAA